RNAcentral lists this ribosomal RNA (1269 nucleotides) under Sporormiella irregularis. Its description in RNAcentral is "eukaryotic LSU rRNA". It matches the Rfam family "Eukaryotic large subunit ribosomal RNA", at positions 1 to 1287 of the family's 3401-position model. Lineage: Eukaryota; Fungi; Ascomycota; Dothideomycetes; Pleosporales; Sporormiaceae. The record is from RNAcentral.
UUUUGACCUCGGAUCAGGUAGGGAUACCCGCUGAACUUAAGCAUAUCAAUAAGCGGAGGAAAAGAAACCAACAGGGAUUGCCCUAGUAACGGCGAGUGAAGCGGCAAGAGCUCAAAUUUGAAAUCUGGCUCCUUUGGAGUCCGAGUUGUAAUUUGUAGAGGGUGCUUUGGCGUUGGCUGUGGUCUAAGUUCCUUGGAACAGGACGUCGCAGAGGGUGAGAAUCCCGUAUGUGGCCGCCAGCCUCCGCCGUGUAAAGCCCCUUCGACGAGUCGAGUUGUUUGGGAAUGCAGCUCUAAAUGGGAGGUAAAUUUCUUCUAAAGCUAAAUAUUGGCCAGAGACCGAUAGCGCACAAGUAGAGUGAUCGAAAGAUGAAAAGCACUUUGGAAAGAGAGUCAAAAAGCACGUGAAAUUGUUGAAAGGGAAGCGCUUGCAGCCAGACUUGCCUGUAGUUGCUCAUCCGGGCUCACGCCCGGUGCACUCUUCUAUGGGCAGGCCAGCAUCAGUUGGGACGGUUGGAUAAAAGCCCGCUAAAUGUACCUCUCUUCGGGGAGGACUUAUAGGGUGGGUGGCAUACGACCAGUCCCGAUUGAGGUCCGCGCAUCUGCUAGGAUGCUGGCGUAAUGGCUGUAAGCGGCCCGUCUUGAAACACGGACCAAGGAGUCUAACAUCUAUGCGAGUGUUUGGGUGUCAAGCCCGAGCGCGUAAUGAAAGUGAACGGAGGUGGGAACCCCUCGGGGCGCACCAUCGACCGAUCCUGAUGUCUUCGGAUGGAUUUGAGUAAGAGCAUAGCUGUUGGGACCCGAAAGAUGGUGAACUAUGCCUGAAUAGGGUGAAGCCAGAGGAAACUCUGGUGGAGGCUCGCAGCGGUUCUGACGUGCAAAUCGAUCGUCAAAUUUGGGCAUAGGGGCGAAAGACUAAUCGAACUAUCUAGUAGCUGGUUCCUGCCGAAGUUUCCCUCAGGAUAGCAGUAACGUUUUCAGUUUUAUGAGGUAAAGCGAAUGAUUAGAGGCCUGGGGGUUGAAACAACCUUCACCUAUUCUCAAACUUUAAAUAUGUAAGAAGUCCUUGUUACUUAAUUGAACGUGGACAUUUGAAUGUAUCGUUACUAGUGGGCCAUUUUUGGUAAGCAGAACUGGCGAUGCGGGAUGAACCGAACGCGGGGUUAAGGUGCCAGAAUGCACGCUCAUCAGACACCACAAAAGGUGUUAGUUCAUCUAGACAGCAGGACGGUGGCCAUGGAAGUCGGAAUCCGCUAAGGAGUGUGUAACA